UGUGGAGGCUAUAUACAGGGGGUACCGGUACAGAGUCAAUGUGGAGGCUAUAUACAGGGCAUUACGGUACAGAGUCAAUGUGGAGGCUAUAUGCAGGGGGUACCGGUACAGAGUAAAUGUGGAGGCUAUAUACAGGGGGUACCGGUACAGAGUCAAUGUGGAGGCUAUAUACAGGGGGUACCGGUACAGAGUCAAUGUGGAGGCUAUAUACAGGGGGUACCGGUACAGAGUCAAUGUGGAGGCUAUAUACAGGGGUUACCGGUACAGAGUCAAUGUGGAGGCUAUAUACAGGGGGUACCGGUACAGAGUCAAUGUGGAGGCUAUAUACAGGGUAUUACGGUACAGAGUCAAUGUGGAGGCUAUAUACAGGGUAUUACGGUACAGAGUCAAUGUGGAGGCUAUAUACAGGGGGUACCGGUACAGAGUCAAUGUGGAGGCUAUAUACAGGGGGUACCGGUACAGAGUCAGUGUGGAGGCUAUAUACAGGGUAUUACGGUACAGAGUCAAUGUGGAGGCUAUAUACAGGGUAUUACGGUACAGAGUCAAUGUGGAGGCUAUAUACAGGGUAUUACGGUACAGAGUCAAUGUGGAGGCUAUAUACAGGGUAUUACGGUACAGAGUCAAUGUGGA
RNAcentral lists this long non-coding RNA (630 nucleotides) under Salmo salar (Atlantic salmon). RNAcentral describes it as "lncRNA (ENSSSAG00000083633.1)". The record is from RNAcentral. Lineage: Eukaryota; Metazoa; Chordata; Actinopteri; Salmoniformes; Salmonidae.